This is a long non-coding RNA of Symphalangus syndactylus (siamang), 694 nucleotides long. RefSeq lists it as uncharacterized. The record is from RefSeq and is a predicted model, not a curated record. Lineage: Eukaryota; Metazoa; Chordata; Mammalia; Primates; Hylobatidae.
UGGGGUUCAUUAGGACUAAGAACGCCUGGCAUUAUAUUGUGCUUACAGGAAAACGACUGCAUAUAUGAAUGUAAACUUGGCAUAGCUUGAGGCCCAGAGCAGUCAUGGAAGAGUAUCUGACAUGAAAGAGAGAAAGAGAAAGAAGCUGAAUCGAGCAGAGAGGAGAGCUCCAGGAGGGCAGUGAUUACAUAUCUUUCCUGUAAUAGGUUUUAAGUCAUAAACUUAUUAGAUGGGCUUGAGAGAAAGCCUUGCCGUAUAAUAUGACAGAGCUUCUGGUGGUAGCACUUUGAGGGUGAAAUGUUUCUGCAUUCUUGCAUCAUCUGUUCUGGUUUCAGUUUCUCAAAUUCUGAUUGGUCCGCUGAACGCUGAAAAUAGCCUGGAUGUGAAUCAGACUGAAUUUGAAUACCAAACUCAACACUCACUCACUUAGGCAAAUUACUUACACACUCCGUGCUCCAGUUGCUCAUCUAUUGAACGGAGAUGAAAAUAAUAGUUCCAGCUCCUAGGGCUUUUGUGAAAAUAAAAUGAAUGAACUCAUGUAAAUGCUUAUAGUGGUGCCCAGCAUACAGUAAGCAUAGCUUAGAUAUCAGAUAUUACUAUUACUUCUGCUUUCUCUGUGGUUUGUUCCUGCUGUCAUUACUACCUGGCAAGUCUCACAGUCUCUGCAUAUCCAAUUACCACUCCUCUUUAAAAC